This is an unclassified non-coding RNA of Bos mutus (wild yak), 212 nucleotides long. The record is from Ensembl. Lineage: Eukaryota; Metazoa; Chordata; Mammalia; Artiodactyla; Bovidae.
CUAGGAGAACCGAAAACAGUUCUAGACAGACCUGGGGUUUUAUAGCAGUGUUGGCAGUCAACUUCAGCUUGUGCCUGAGCAGACCGGCUGCGGUGGCCCGCCAGCGGGGGACGCCAGGCUAUCAACCCUGGCUGCAAGCCCCUCUCCCAAUUAGAUCAGUUUUCCCCUUGAUGCCAGGGAGGGCGGGGAGGGGGGGGGUCAUCGCAGAAAAG